GGGGAUGUAGCUCAGUGGUAGAGCACUAGUCUAGAAGAUGUGAAGACCUGGGUCCCAUCUCCA
Molecule: transfer RNA, 63 nt
Filed under: Fukomys damarensis (Damara mole-rat)
Lineage: Eukaryota; Metazoa; Chordata; Mammalia; Rodentia; Bathyergidae
Rfam family: tRNA
About the family: Transfer RNA (tRNA) molecules are approximately 80 nucleotides in length. Their secondary structure includes four short double-helical elements and three loops (D, anti-codon, and T loops). Further hydrogen bonds mediate the characteristic L-shaped molecular structure. tRNAs have two regions of fundamental functional importance: the anti-codon, which is responsible for specific mRNA codon recognition, and the 3' end, to which the tRNAs corresponding amino acid is attached (by aminoacyl-tRNA synthetases). tRNAs cope with the degeneracy of the genetic code in two manners: having more than one tRNA (with a specific anti-codon) for a particular amino acid; and 'wobble' base-pairing, i.e. permitting non-standard base-pairing at the 3rd anti-codon position.
Source: Rfam by way of RNAcentral